Parus major (Great Tit) is the source of this 362-nucleotide long non-coding RNA. RefSeq lists it as uncharacterized. The record is from RefSeq and is a predicted model, not a curated record. NCBI's taxonomy places the organism in Eukaryota, Metazoa, Chordata, Aves, Passeriformes, Paridae. The transcript has 3 exons.
AUUUGGACCUUCAGUAGCUCUGGCUGUGGGUUCCUAAAUUCUCUGUCCAGUCUGGAAAUCAGUACUUCCCAAAAUAAAUAGUUAUAGUCUGGGAAGACUUCUGCCUGGAUGACCUGCACAAAAAAAUGACACUGCCCUGCAGAUGCUUGAGAACUUGCAGGGCCCUCUGAAGUCAGCUGGACAUUCAGAAAUGAAUGAGAUGGAAUGAAAUGUUGAGAUGGAACAUUGCAUGGAGUCAGCAACCACCAAGGCAACGAAGAGACACUUAGAGACAAGGCGUGCCAGAGACGGACAGCGGGUGGAAUGAUGCUGGAGCUGUGACAGAGAGGUGUUGAGCUGAGCUCCUGGCACACUCCAGGGAG